Molecule: non-coding RNA, 135 nt
Organism: Triticum aestivum (bread wheat)
Lineage: Eukaryota; Viridiplantae; Streptophyta; Magnoliopsida; Poales; Poaceae
Source: Rfam
CCUCUACUCCCUCCGUCCGAAAAUACUUGUCAUUAAAAUGCAUAAAAAGGGAUGUAUCUAGAACUAAAAUACGUUUACAUACAUCUCCUUUUAUCAAUUUUGAUGACAAGUAUUUCCGGAUGGAGGGAGUACUUC